This 360-nucleotide ribosomal RNA is filed under the name Limosilactobacillus fermentum. RNAcentral's name for it is "bacterial SSU rRNA". It matches the Rfam family "Bacterial small subunit ribosomal RNA", at positions 1031 to 1390 of the family's 1533-position model. Lineage: Bacteria; Bacillati; Bacillota; Bacilli; Lactobacillales; Lactobacillaceae. The record is from RNAcentral.
AUGACAGGUGGUGCAUGGUCGUCGUCAGCUCGUGUCGUGAGAUGUUGGGUUAAGUCCCGCAACGAGCGCAACCCUUGUUACUAGUUGCCAGCAUUAAGUUGGGCACUCUAGUGAGACUGCCGGUGACAAACCGGAGGAAGGUGGGGACGACGUCAGCAUCAUCAUGCCCCUUAUGACCUGGGCUACACACGUGCUACAAUGGACGGUACAACGAGUCGCGAACUCGCGAGGGCAAGCAAACUCUCUUAAAACCGUUCUCAGUUCGGACUGCAGGCUGCAACUCGCCUGCACGAAGUCGGAAUCGCUAGUAAUCGCGGAUCAGCAUGCCGCGGUGAAUACGUUCCCGGGUCUUGUACACAC